CCUGGCUCAGGACGAACGCUGGCGGCGUGCCUAAUACAUGCAAGUCGAGCGGACAGAUGGGAGCUUGCUCCCUGAUGUUAGCGGCGGACGGGUGAGUAACACGUGGGUAACCUGCCUGUAAGACUGGGAUAACUCCGGGAAACCGGGGCUAAUACCGGAUGGUUGUUUGAACCGCAUGGUUCAGACAUAAAAGGUGGCUUCGGCUACCACUUACAGAUGGACCCGCGGCGCAUUAGCUAGUUGGUGAGGUAACGGCUCACCAAGGCAACGAUGCGUAGCCGACCUGAGAGGGUGAUCGGCCACACUGGGACUGAGACACGGCCCAGACUCCUACGGGAGGCAGCAGUAGGGAAUCUUCCGCAAUGGACGAAAGUCUGACGGAGCAACGCCGCGUGAGUGAUGAAGGUUUUCGGAUCGUAAAGCUCUGUUGUUA
RNAcentral lists this ribosomal RNA (433 nucleotides) under Bacillus subtilis. Its description in RNAcentral is "bacterial SSU rRNA". It matches the Rfam family "Bacterial small subunit ribosomal RNA", at positions 18 to 441 of the family's 1533-position model. Lineage: Bacteria; Bacillati; Bacillota; Bacilli; Caryophanales; Bacillaceae. The record is from RNAcentral.